GACGAACGCUGGCGGCGUGCUUAACACAUGCAAGUCGAACGGAAAGGCCCUGCUUUUGUGGGGUGCUCGAGUGGCGAACGGGUGAGUAACACGUGAGUAACCUGCCCUUGACUUUGGGAUAACUUCAGGAAACUGGGGCUAAUACCGGAUAGGAGCUCCUGCUGCAUGGUGGGGGUUGGAAAGUUUCGGCGGUUGGGGAUGGACUCGCGGCUUAUCAGCUUGUUGGUGGGGUAGUGGCUUACCAAGGCUUUGACGGGUAGCCGGCCUGAGAGGGUGACCGGCCAAAUUGGGACUGAGAUACGGCCGAGACUCCUACGGGAGGCAGCAGUGGGGAAUAUUGCACAAUGGGCGGAAGCCUGAUGCAGCAACGCCGCGUGCGGGAUGACGGCCUUCGGGUUGUAAACCGCUUUCGCCUGUGACGAAGCGUGAGUGACGGCAAUGGGUAAAGAAGCACCGGCUAACUACGUG
RNAcentral lists this ribosomal RNA (468 nucleotides) under uncultured bacterium. Its description in RNAcentral is "partial 16S ribosomal RNA". It matches the Rfam family "Bacterial small subunit ribosomal RNA", at positions 28 to 507 of the family's 1533-position model. The record is from RNAcentral.